AGUCCCCAGGAGAGGCUGGUGCAGGAAGGCUCAGACACUGUGUUCUCUGACAUAAUUUAUGGCUUCUAUGAGGCUGUCUUGUAGGAUGCCCAUGACGAUCCUCCAGACACUAAGAUGAGAAAACUAAGGCCCAAAGGGACACCUGGCUUUCCUAAGACCUGUAAGUGGAAGAGUCAGCAUUUGAAUGGAGAACUCGCAGCUUUCGGAGUCUAGACUUGUUUUACCUCACCAGACUGCUUCUACUCCUAGUGAUUCCUUCCCUUAGAUUAAGCCUUGCUCUCUUCCCGUGCAAUCAUGAAGAGGAUUAUAUUAGUAAAUCCCUGAACAUUCCCUGAUUGGGGAGUGAGGGUCAAACCAAGGCAAAUGGCAGGAUUGACACUCACAUCAAGGGCUGGCUCAUUAAGGGCUCGGGACCUGGCGAUCGAGUUGCAUUGCAGAUUUUGGAAGUAUGCAAGACCACGCCAGCCACCUUUCCAGGGAGAGACCAUGCAAAGAAGGCAGGUGAUCCAAGGGCUGGGAGUGGUGAGGACUGCUCCAGCCCCUGAGCAGCUGUCAUCCCAGCACAAAGUGUCAGAAGAGACCUCAAAGUGUGGUCUGCAGACGAGGCAGCAUCUGCAUCACCUGGGAGCUUGUUAGAAAUGCAGAAUCUUCUGAGAGAACCAGACCUGCUGCAUCAAAAUCUGCAUUUUAACAAGAUUGUAACUUAGAUACACAGUAACACUUAAAAAGGAUGGGGCAGAGAGGCUAAGUCAGCAGCUUCUCAUCACACUCCAAUCUGAUGCUGCUAGUGCUCCAAAAAGCUCUCAUAUCCUCACUGACUAGCCUAGGGCUGUGUCUAUCAAUGCAUUAUAUGACACAGAUGAAGACUAUUGUGUACCUUCCUCAAUUUUUACCCCAUUGUUUCAGCCUUUUGUACAUCUUUAAUGCAAACAUCCAUGCGAGAAUUCUUGUGACAUUAAUUUUUUGGAACAACCUGUUUUGCAGAGCAAAUUUCAUUAAGCCAUUUUAAUCCAGAGUUUAAUUUUUUAUACAGCUCGACUCAAUCAUUUCCAUUUUUUUUCCAUUAGAAUGUCUAUUUGUAGUAACAUUAUUUUCAUGGGAUCAAUUAUUUUCUGUUUAAAUUUACAACAGGCAUUUGACUCAUCAGUCUCUUUUUAUAUACCAUCUUUUUGCUGAUUCUGACUUCUGCUAUUUGGAGAGGUUUUCUUGUUUGUGUGUUUGAUUCUUUUGUGGCCAUUCUUUCUAUUAAGUGAAAAUCGUCUGGAUCAAAUUUUGUAGAUUUAAAUUUUGUUAUUAGUGAUACCUGUUUUUUUUCCCUGUCAAUUUUAGCUCAUUACACAUUCUAGUCAUUUUAACCCUGCUAGUUUUGUUAGUUGCUGAUCACUUUUACCAUACCAGUAAUACGUGGUAGAAAUAAUCACCAGAAUGAAAACUCUGCAAAGGCAGGAUUUCUGUCCCUUUUUUUUUUUGUUUUUUUUUUUUUCCUGCCUUAUACUUGAGACUUAGUGCAUGGCACAUAGAAAGUGCUCCAUAUGGCCAGGCGCAGUGACUCACGCCUGUAAUCCUUGCACUUUGGGAAGCCAAGGCAGGUGGAUCACUUGAGGUCAGGAGUUUGAGACCAGCCUGGCCAACAUGGUGAAACCCCGUCUGUACUAAAAAUACAAAACAUUAGCCAGGCAUGGUGGCGGGCACCUGUAGUCCCAGCUACUCGGGAGGCUGAGGCAGAGAAUCACUUGAACCCAGGAGGCAGAGGUUGUGGUGAGGUGAAGUCACACCACUGCACUCCAGCCUGGGUGACAGAGCGAAACUCCAUUUAAAAAAAAAAGAAAGAAAGUACUCCAUAAAUAUUUGUAGGUGGAAAGAAUGAUAUUCACAUAUGAUUUAAUCAAAGACUGACAGUUUAUCUAUUUGAUAAAAAGACUGUGAGAAGCAGAGAUUGAUGGAGACAGGAGAGAAAGUGGAGGAGAAGAGAAGAUGGAGACAGCACACACACAUGCACAGACUUGAACAUGCAGACACACAUUGCACAUGCACAUGCAUGCACACAGCCACACACGUAUACACAAACACACAUGCGUGCACACAGCCACACGUAUACACAAACACAUGCGUGCACACACCACACACAUAUAUGUAAGCACACAUGCAUGCACACAGGCAUACACAUAUACAUAAACACGCAUGCACACAGCCACACACAUAUACACACAAGCAUGCACAUACACAGAGGCAUAUAUACACAUGCACUAACAUACGCAUAGUCACAGAUACACCUGUAGGUGCAAACACCUAUAUAUGUGUUCACAUUCAUACACGGGAGUUAUUAUAUUUGUGCUCACACAUGUAGAGGGUAGAAUUGUGGUUAUUAGAUGCUGGGAAGAGUAGAGGAAGAGAAGAUAGGGAGAGGCUGGUUGGUGGAUACAAAGUUACAGCUGAAUGAGAGAUAAUUUUGACUGUUCUGUAUACUGUAGGAUGAAUAUGGUUAACAAUAACUUAGUGUAUAUUUUCAAAAAGCCAGAAGAGAGGAUCUUGAAUGUUCACAGCACAAAUAAAUGAUAAAUGUUUGAGGUGAUGGAUAUGCUACUCUGAUUUGAUCAUUACACAUUGUAUAAAUGUAUUGAAAAAUCACUCUGUAUCCCAUAAAUAUGUAUAAUUAUUAUGCAUCAACUAAAAAUUAAAGACCACACAUAUAUGCACACAUAGACAUGCACAUGAACACACAUACUCAUGCAUAUGUGUAUACAUGCAGAGUUACACAUAUACACAAACACACAUAUAUGCACACAUAGACAUGCACAUGAACACACAGACAUACUCAUGCAUAUGCGUAUACAUGCACAGUUACACAUACACACACAUGCACACAUAGACAUGCACAUGAACACACAGACAUACACAUGCAUAUGCGUAUACAUGCAGUUACACAUAUACACAAACACACAUAUAUGCACACAUAGACAUGCACAUGAAGACACUAUGCACAUGUCCACACAUGCACACAGCCACACACAUACAUAUAUACACAAAUACCCAUAAAUAUGCACAUGUAGACAGCAUGCACACAGAGAUACAUAUGCACACACACAGCCACAUGUAUACACACUUGUGCAAAUGUAUGCACACACAGACACACAUAUGCCCAUACAUAGGCAUAUACACGUACAGAUUCAGAUAUAAACACAUACAAACACUCAUGUACAUAUGCAAACACAUGUACACACACAGUCUGCUGGCAUAGUGAUGGCUAAACCAAUGCAGGGUAGGGUAAAAUGUCUCUGGUGCAAGGUCAGUAGGAUAAAAUCUGCAGGAUCAAAUGGAAUGCUUAACAACACUCCUCUGUGGGGUAUCAGUGUCUCCAUUUUACAACCAGUGCUUAAUCAAAUGCACAUUGAGUUGAACUGAAUAUUGGAAAAUGAAUUGCUACCUUUGAAUGAAUCUACUGAAAAAUUAUACUUGUCCUGGGUCAGACCGUGUGAAAAGCACUGGGUAUUGGAGAUGAAAAGUGGUUGGCCCUUUUUCUUUGAAAGCUUAGUCCAGUGGGGAAGAUGGAUGUGGAAGCUGAGCAAUUAAAAUGCAGCUUGAUAAAAGCUGUGCUGAAAAACCCUCACUGAGCUGAGCAGUGGGGGCUGGGAGGGAGCAGGUCUUAAACUGAAUGAUCAGGUUUAGUGGGAGCUGUUUAAAUUCUGAGCCAUCAGGCAUUUUUGCUGGAUUCCUUUCGGUGCGCUUGUUAAUCAAUUAUAAAAUAAUAAUAAUGAACACUUCAGGAGAGAGGAUGGAGGUUGAAAGACAGUGGAGGGCUGGACUUGAGGUUGGAAGAUUUGCAGAGACCUGGAUUGUGCAUUCGACCUUUACAAAUUGAAGCGAGAGGCUUUGCAUCUCUGAACAUCAGGAUUCCACUCUAUAAAAAGGAGAAUGAAAGCAUUCAGUUUAUAGGUUUGCUGUGAGGGCUCAACGAGAAUGUGGAUCCAAAAAAGCUUUGGAAACCAAAAUACCGCUAGUUAGCUUGCUGCUUUAUUAUCCAAAAGAGGCUGCAAAGAUUUGAGGUUUGUUUGUAGUUUGUUUGUAGAUUAGUCAGUGUCUACUAAAAUAACACUGUGUAACAACCAUGCCCAAAUCUUGGUGGCUUAAUACCUUAAACGUUAUUUUUCUCAUUCAUGAGGCUGUAGGUGGGUUGGAAUUUGGCAGAUGUAGGCUGGAAUUAGCUGGACCUGCCUCCAGGACCAGGGUUGGACCCAAGUCUUCUGUACGUGUCACCUUCUUUUGGUGCCAGUGCUACCUGGGAUUUUAAUUUCAUGGUUUUGCAGAAGCGUAAGAGGGCAUGCCAACCACGUGAACACUUUUAAAGCCUAACAUCCUAUAGGCCAAAGCCAGCCACAGGUCCAAACUCAACUUCAAUAGGCAGGGAAAGUCCUCCACCUACUUUACCAGGGGAGUACUGCAGAGCAAUGACCGAGGAAGGAAAUGUUUAAUCCUAUUAGGGAGGGAGGGGGGGACCAGGAACACAAAUCCCUCAAGGCAGGACGAGUAAUGGUUGGCUGCCCAAGGUUGACAGACUGGGUCUCAGUUCCUGGCACUGCUCCUCUCUAGCCAUGAGACUUUAGGCAAGUCAACAUUUCAGAGCCUCAGUUUCCUCAUCUGUAAAGUGGGUAUAAUAAUAGAAUUCUCACAGAAUUUCAGUGAGGAUUGCCUGAUUCAUGACAACAGCCUUAUAAGUGGUCCCCUUCUUUUACCUCGCAUCUUCUGUAAUCUCUUCUCUAUGCUUCAUCCUUUAAAUACAAAAGUCACCCGUAAAGACAGAAAACAGAUUAGUGGUGGCCAGAGGUGGUGGAGGGAGAGAGGGGGAGAAAUGAGAGAAGUGCUAAGGGGUAUGAGGUUUCCUUUUGGGGCGAUGAAAAUGUUCUAAAAUCGAUGUGGUUAUGGUUGUACAACUGCAAAUAUACAAUCCCUCUGCCUGGAACCUUUUCCCCAAGAAAUCUGCCCCCACCGUAAAUCCUCACUUGCAUACUGUAUAAUGAGGCUUUUCUGGACCACCCUAUUUAAUUACCCACUCCUUUCUGUCCAUGCCUCUCUCUCGAUAUAUUUUCUCUGAAUGUUUGUAGCAACUUGACAUAUUUUGCAUGCUUAUACACUAUGUACUUUAUAUUAAAGCACAGUUAUGUAAUUUAUUUCUCUGGUCCUUUCACCUCCUUUCCUCCCUCCCUGAAAUAUGCCAGUAGAAUGUAACCUUCAGGAAGGCAAGGAUAUUUACCUUCUGGGUUUGCUGCUGUCUCCCUAGACAGCUCCUGGCACACAGUAAGCCUUUUAAAAAUAUUUGUUGAAUGCAUGAUAUAAGCCAUAUAAUGCUUAGUAGGUGCUCAGGGCUGAGGAACAUAAUUGAUGUUAGCUUUUAUUAUCUUUAUUUACUUCAAAUAACCUACUUAAUUGGGAAAUUUUCCGGGUCUGGAGGGACUCUGAGUUUGAGUCCAGUAUCUUCCCUGGGAGUCCUUGCUUGCACAAAUGUGUGGGAUAGACUCCCGCUGUGUCUGUGGACUCAACGUCUCAGCUCCAGGCUCUUUGCUGCCAGGCAUAGUGAGCCGUGACAUUUAUAAAUCUCUGGGCUCUUAAUCCCCUGCUGAUCCUCGGAGAGGAGUAGACAUUUGUUGCUAAACACAUUGCCCCACUUUGAACAAAGAAACGAAGAGAUACCCCAAGCAUCAAUACAACAGCUGCCUGCGAUGGCUGUGACGUCCCUUCUAUCCUAAGGAGGAGGGUACUGGGACUCAGUCCUGUGCACUGACCUGCCCCACUCACCUGGCUGGUGAGGGGUGCAGUUACUACCUUUGGAACACAUAUCAUUGGGUUUUUGUAUUGCAUUCUUCUGUCUCUGAGCAGAUCUGUUUGUUUAAUGGUCUCUUCCUCACAUUCAGCUCAAGCCUGUAAAUCCUUCGUAUAAAUUCUGCCUGCUCCUUGAUACCAAUCUGUUCUCCUCCAAGUAAAUCUUUUAAAGACAAUACUCCAGCAGCACCGGGAGAACAUUUCCUGCAAAAUCAUGCCCGGAAGCCCCUGUUAGCAUGCAAAUAUGCCCCUUUGCAGCAUGUUCUGAUUGUAACUCGUGAUGCACAGUGCAGAGAAUUAAGCCGGGUCCCUUCCUCAUCAGUCACCAUUUAAUGGAGACUGAAUGGUUGUGGAUACUUUUGUUAGGGUCAUCAAGAAGGUUUGCCAUGCUUGGCUUGGUAAGGAGGAGGUUGUGUGCUCCUGUAAGACAAACCUAGCACUUUAUAGGCUCCCAAAAGCCCAUGGUAGUUACAGGAGCCAUGAAAAACAAACAUGUAGACAUUCAGUAGUGGUCUCAGGAACCCCUAUUGGCAAACUCACCAUUUAUGGAAAGACCUGGAGGGCAGUGUCUUUGGCCAUGACAUGAAACAGCCCAGUAAGCUGCAAAGGCCAGAUUGAAGAGAGCUGUUGAAAAUUCAUUUGCUUGCUAUAGGCUGGCUUUUUAUUUCAUUUUAUUUUAUUUGUUUAUUUAUUAUGUUUUUUAGCAAACCAUCUGAAAUGGGAUGAGAGAGCCAUAUUUGGGCAUACCACCUAUUGGACCAGCAGUUCUACAGAGGCGAGGGUCCAUUUUUUGUUUUGCAGAAGCCUCUCUGUCAGCAGUUCUCAAAAGGAAAGGAGUUUAUUUAUCUUCAGUUCAGCAAAAUUUACUAAGUGCUGACAAUGGGCUAAGGGGAUAGAGACGAAGAAGGAGAUUCUUGCCCUCCAGAAAUUUACAGCCCAACAUAAUGUAAACACUUUUCUAUACAACACUUGCAAAUAGUAAUUGUGUGGAAAUUCAAAUGGUGGACUUACAUGUUAUCAGACUCUGUGUGUGUGCAUAUGUGCAUGUGUGUGUAGGUCACUCCCUAAAGAAUGACAAAUAUGCUAAGAUUUUAGUUACUCCUUGCUUUUUUUGUCCCCCCUCCUCGUUUUUUAACCUUUAUUGAAGUAUCAUUCACAUACCGCAGACUGCAACCACUUCAAGUGUAAAGCUCAGUGACUAUUAAUAUAUUUACAGAGUUGUGCAACCAUAACUGCAAUCUUAUUUUAAGUAAUUUCUACCUCCCCAGAAAGAAGCCUUGUGCCCAUUUGAAGUCCCUCUCCUUCCUAACCCCAGCCUGAGGCAACUACUAAUCUAUUUUCUGUCUCCAUGGAUUUUCCUUUUCUGCACAUUUUAUGUAAUGAAAUCAUGCCAUAUGUGGGUUUUUGUGCCUGGUUUCUUUCACUUAGCAUAAUGUUUUUUGCAGUUUAUCCAUUAGACACACUCGGAAGCAGUAUUUCCAGUAUCAGUCUAUGCUCUCAUUUUGUCCUUUUCCUUUUACAAUUGAAGGCGCAAUUAACUGGCCUAAAUUCGAUGAAGUUAAAGGUUGGCCAUUUGUGGCGUGCUUACUCAAUUCAAUCUCGGCUGAGAUUUGAUCCCUUAUUAUUACAUUAGUGCUUUUUACUUUUCUGUUUUCAGUUACUUUUUAUAAAAUAGUAAGAGUGGAAGAUAAUGAAACGGCUAAAUAAAUCUUAUCGAGAGAUAGUGAAGGUGCUGGAGCUUCCUCACUGAGCAAACAGAACUACAGUAAAAUGAUAACUCAUGAAAAAAUUAAAGUUGGACAUAUGCAUUGGAUUUAGGGGCACCAGCGCACAAUGUGUGAAAGUGCAGCUUGCUCAAAACUUGAAGGUGUGAAUGUCAGAGACUACCUGUGAAUCUCGUCAUCAUUGUCAUCAUUCUCAUAACGAUAAUAGCAAUUCCCUUUUCUGAGUGCAUGGUAUGUGCUAUUCAGUUCCCACACAUUUCCUCAUUGAAUCCUCACAACUGCUAUUGGAGGAAUAUAUUAUUUUUAUUAUUAUUUUCAUUUUACAGAUGGAGACAAUGAGUCCCAGUAAAUUUAAAGACACAUGCCUAAGACUGAGAACCCAAAAUAUCUGAGACAGGUCUCAGUCAAUUUAGAAACGUUUAUUUUGCCAAGGUUAAGGACGUGGUCGGCACAUAGCCCAGGGAGGUCCCGAUGACAUGUGCCCAAGGUGGGCAGGGCACAGCUUGGUUUUAUACAUUUUAGGGACACAUGAGACAUUAAUCCAUAUGUGUAAGAAGUACAUUGGUUCAGUCCAACGUGGAACAACUCCAGGUAGGGAGGGGCUUCCAGGUCAUGGAUAGACAAGAGACAAAAGGUUGCAUUCUUUUGAGUCCUUGAUCAGCCGUCCACUGAACACAGUGUUCAUUCCUGGGCAUAGGCCGAACUAACUUUGGGAAGGAAUUCAGUUCAUGGUUUGACUCUGAAACAAAAUUGAUAAUAACCCUUUCCCAAAAAGACCCUCUUCUUGCUCGGGGACCAGUCUGCCUUUGCAAGACUAACAAGUUAGCUACAAGAUUAGAAAUUACAGUUUAGGGGUCAUGCAGCCUCUGGCUCCAAGAGUCUGAACCUCCUCAAAUUGCUCCUGGGGAUAACAUCACUAUUGUAAAACCUAAGAUCAGUGCUUGAGAUAUUUUGCAGACCGUGCACUCCAUGGAUCAGCUGACACCAUGCAGACCAGUAAUCUGGCUCAAUCAGUUCUGCCGUCUCAUCCAGGAACAGCAAGAAAACCUCACUUCAACCCCCUAGGACUCCAUCUCCAACCUGACCAAUCAGCACUCCUCACUUCCCGAGCCCAUACCCCCCAAAUCCCCGAAUGCUUGGGGAGACUGAUUUGAGUAAUAAUAAUUAAACUCCUGUCUCCCGCACAGCUGGCUCUGUGUGAAUUACUCUUUCUCUAUUGCAAUUCCCCUUCCUUGAUAAAUUGGCUCUGUCUAGACAGUGGGCAAAGUGAACCUGUUGGGCAGUUAGAAAAGGAGCCUGAGAGAUGGGUUGAGGGCGGGUAGAGAAAGUAAUGACUGUGAUCAGACCCCGCUGAGAGAUUUGCCAUUGUCAUGAAGGUAAGAGGGAGACGUUGAGGAAUUUUAAGUGCAGAUGUGAUGUGAACAGAUUUGAGUUUUACAAAAGUGAAUUCCUGGUGGUAAUAACGGUGCCUUGGAUCAAAGUUCUCAAUUCCAAGUAGCAGGUGAGCAUCUCAGAAAAGAUACAAAGCUUCGGACCAAGGUUUCCUCUCUUCUCUUCAGCAGGAAUCACAGUUUGGGGAACUAAACUUGCCAAGGAGAACUUCAGGUUUCUAGAAUCCGAGGCUGAUGAAGAAAGAAUGUUGGGGCAGAUUUUGACAGGGGUCUAAGCUUUGCCUAAUCACACUGCCCGAAUGAGCAGCCACUGCUGAUGAAUUCUCAUUUUCUUAACUGGCAAAGCCUUCUUGGCACAAAAAAAGUGUUUAUGGUUUUUCUUAAAAAAGCGUUUAGUGCCUCUGAGUUGAGAAGGCUGGUGUACUGAGAUGUGGCAUCUCUUUUCUUGUAAAAGUUAAGGGGCUUUUUUCAGUCACUUUAUAGUUUGUUUUAUUGAUGGAGAAAGGGAAAGUGAUAAAAUAUUCUUGUCUUCUAAAAUUUCUGUCCUUUGGCAACAAGGAUGAGAAGGUAUAUGUCCCGGUAAAUUUUUGGGUUACAAAAUAAUCCCUUCUCUUAGUGCUCUACUGACUGAGUUACCACAGUGCUUCCCAUACACUGUCGCCUCAGGCAAGUUGUUUAAUUUUUCCAGGCCUCAGUUGCUUAGUCUGUGAAAUGGGAAUAUGAACACCAAUACCACCUACUUCUUAGAAGUAUUAUGAGGAUUAGGUAUCUAAUAUUUGUAAA
Molecule: long non-coding RNA, 9712 nt
Filed under: Homo sapiens (human)
Lineage: Eukaryota; Metazoa; Chordata; Mammalia; Primates; Hominidae
Description: non-protein coding LINC02177:20
Source: RNAcentral